Molecule: ribosomal RNA, 1317 nt
Filed under: Triticum aestivum (bread wheat)
Lineage: Eukaryota; Viridiplantae; Streptophyta; Magnoliopsida; Poales; Poaceae
Description: partial small subunit ribosomal RNA
Source: RNAcentral
CAACUGAGACUCGUGAUCAGUUUAUCUUACAAAGGAUCAAAAUAGUAACUUAUCAUCGUAUGUAAGGAAUAGGAGAGUUUGUGGUGUGCAAAGAAUAGGUGUGGUACAUACGUGUGAUGAAAAAAUAGAGAAAUUGAGGAAGUAAAAAAAGCAAAACAGAAGAAGAACCAUUCAACACGUUCGUUAGUGUUCGUCAUCGUCUUCACCGAGCCACGACCGGUAAGAAGAGGAGACAAUCGUCAUCGUCUUUGUGUUUUCAAUGUUAAUUCUCCUUUUACCACGACGACGGUAUCGGAUGUGGUGUGUCAAAUCUUCCUGGUUUAGUAUUUUAAAUCACGGAACAACCUCAGUCGAAUAUGGUGAGCAGACUUGUCCGCUGAACUGCACGUACGUAGCUAGCGAGCGAGCGAGCCGCUCUUUGUGAGACGAGACGGAGAAGUGUUCCCCUGUUUAUUUGGAGACCCAGUUUCUCAGACGAGCUAUACGGGGACUUGGUGAGGCCAAGGCGACAUCCGAGGGACAGCGCUCUUCUCGAGGUGCCUACAACGAUGACAUAAACUCACCUAGUCGUCGUGUCGCCUGAGGUCGCACAACACACGGACCUUUCUCUCUUUAGGGCAUUCUCUUUGACUUGAAGAGAAAAGAAGAGAAUUUUUUGUGUUGUGAUGUUCCUUUAUCUUUAGAGAAGACGUUAGGAAAACGUGUCCCUUGGUAGGAGCGUAGUUUCUUAUUUGAAUGAAAAAAUGUGUUUUUAGUGUGAUGUUUUUAUCGGUGUCGACCAAGAACGGCGACAACACGUCACCCUAUCCUCCCCCAACUCCCCUCCUAACGAGGCGCCACGACUACGUCCAACCGAUCGCCGUGCGCAACCCCAACCUGACGGCUUCCCUCCGCGGGAGACGAUGUACCCCCUACGGGCUGUCACACCUCGAGGGCUACUCACGAAAGCUGCGCCCCUCCUAUACCACCUUGCGCAGCAGCCCGGGAUCGUCUCGUCCCUCCUACCGUCCCGUGAUAAAGAUACAUAACUUCAUAGACGUCCCUCCGCGGCCUAUGUAGAACUUGGUUGACCCCGACCUAGCUUGCCCCAGCAGCCCUUCGGACCUCCACCUCCGUACGCCGCCGGGUCGGUCCUCCACCUCGUGCUGCCGCGUAGACGGCCCCUCCCUCCACUCCAGCCACCGCGCAGACGGCCCCUCCCUCUACCCCCGUCGACACGAAGGAGGCGGCCUCCCUCCACCCCCGCCGUCACGAACAACGGCCCGUCCUUCCACCACCGCCGCCGCGGACAAUGGACACUACCUCCGGCCCCACCGC